RNAcentral lists this ribosomal RNA (466 nucleotides) under uncultured bacterium. RNAcentral's name for it is "bacterial SSU rRNA". It matches the Rfam family "Bacterial small subunit ribosomal RNA", at positions 447 to 906 of the family's 1533-position model. The record is from RNAcentral.
GAAACGGUGCUCUUUAAUAAAGAGUGCUAAUGACGGUACCGUAAGAAUAAGCACCGGCUAACUACGUGCCAGCAGCCGCGGUAAUACGUAGGGUGCGAGCGUUAAUCGGAAUUACUGGGCGUAAAGCGUGCGCAGGCGGUUAUAUAAGACAGUUGUGAAAUCCCUGGGCUCAACCUAGGAAUUGCAUCUGUGACUGUAUAGCUAGAGUACGGUAGAGGGGGAUGGAAUUCCGCGUGUAGCAGUGAAAUGCGUAGAUAUGCGGAGGAACACCGAUGGCGAAGGCAAUCCCCUGGACCUGUACUGACGCUCAUGCACGAAAGCGUGGGGAGCAAACAGGAUUAGAUACCCUGGUAGUCCACGCCCUAAACGAUGUCAACUGGUUGUUGGGUGCAUUAGUACUCAGUAACGAAGCUAACGCGUGAAGUUGACCGCCUGGGGAGUACGGCCGCAAGGUUGAAACUCAAUG